Molecule: ribosomal RNA, 424 nt
Filed under: uncultured prokaryote
Also listed under: 1 other name
Description: bacterial SSU rRNA
Rfam family: Bacterial small subunit ribosomal RNA
Source: RNAcentral
UGAGGAAUAUUGGUCAAUGGACGCAAGUCUGAACCAGCCAUGCCGCGUGCAGGAAGACGGCUCUAUGAGUUGUAAACUGCUUUUGUACAAGGGUAAACCUCGGUACGUGUACCGAGCUGAAAGUACUGUACGAAUAAGGAUCGGCUAACUCCGUGCCAGCAGCCGCGGUAAUACGGAGGAUCCAAGCGUUAUCCGGAUUUAUUGGGUUUAAAGGGUGCGUAGGCGGUUUGAUAAGUUAGAGGUGAAAGCUCGGGGCUCAACUCCGGAACUGCCUCUAAUACUGUUGAACUAGAGAGUAGAUGCGGUAGGCGGAAUGUAUGGUGUAGCGGUGAAAUGCGUAGAGAUCAUACAGAACACCGAUUGCGAAGGCAGCUUACCAAACUAUAUCUGACGUUGAGGCACGAAAGCGUGGGUAGCAAACAGG